This 431-nucleotide long non-coding RNA is filed under the name Nicotiana benthamiana. Its description in RNAcentral is "long non-coding RNA (NBEN_LNC023681)". The record is from RNAcentral. Lineage: Eukaryota; Viridiplantae; Streptophyta; Magnoliopsida; Solanales; Solanaceae.
AUAGUUAAAAGAACAAAGAGUUUUGAAAGCAAAAAAUUAAGAUAACUUUGAGAAACAUGCUUAGAAAUUUCAAACACACAUAAAUCCGGAGCAGGUCUGAAAACAAACCGAAGGAACCAUAGAGAUUAGGGUUUCGUAAGAAACCCAGGUGAAGAGAAAUGCUUUGAAAACCCUCAAUCUAAGCAGGAUAGUUGAAGGUCGAACUCGAAUAGUCAUGGCUGACAGAGAUUGAAGAUGACCGGAGAACAGUCAUCGAGCAAAGGCUUACUUGAUACACUUCAAGAUUUGGUCAUAAAACCUCAGAGAUGAGCACGUAGAAGCCGUGAAAGGCCGGUAUAGGCCUCCGAUGAGCCUGGGAAGCCAUGGAUUGGAGUUUUAAUGAGAGACGGCAGCUAGGGUUUGUGGUGAGUUGACAGAGGAGGGAGAUUCAG